GGAUGCGAUCAUACCAGCACUAAAGCACCGGAUCCCAUCGGAACUCCGAAGUUAAGCGUGCUUGGGCGAGAGUAGUACUAGUACUAGGAUGGGUGACCUCUGGGAAGUCCUCGUGUUGCAUCCC
Non-coding RNA from Lolium perenne, 124 nucleotides. Lineage: Eukaryota; Viridiplantae; Streptophyta; Magnoliopsida; Poales; Poaceae. The record is from RefSeq and is a predicted model, not a curated record.